This 66-nucleotide transfer RNA is filed under the name Extubocellulus spinifer. Lineage: Eukaryota; Bacillariophyta; Thalassiosirophyceae; Cymatosirales; Cymatosiraceae. The record is from RNAcentral.
UGUGUUUGACCAAGUUUUGCCACAAAUUAUAAAUAAGGCAAUUUAUGCAUUUAAACUUAUGAGCCC